RNAcentral lists this ribosomal RNA (1443 nucleotides) under uncultured organism. RNAcentral's name for it is "16S ribosomal RNA". It matches the Rfam family "Bacterial small subunit ribosomal RNA". The record is from RNAcentral.
CAGGCUUAACACAUGCAAGUCGAGGGGCAGCAUGGUCUUAGCUUGCUAAGGCCGAUGGCGACCGGCGCACGGGUGAGUAACACGUAUCCAACCUGCCGUCUACUCUUGGACAGCCUUCUGAAAGGAAGAUUAAUACAAGAUGGCAUCAUGAGUCCGCAUGUUCACAUGAUUAAAGGUAUUCCGGUAGACGAUGGGGAUGCGUUCCAUUAGAUAGUAGGCGGGGUAACGGCCCACCUAGUCUUCGAUGGAUAGGGGUUCUGAGAGGAAGGUCCCCCACAUUGGAACUGAGACACGGUCCAAACUCCUACGGGAGGCAGCAGUGAGGAAUAUUGGUCAAUGGGCGAGAGCCUGAACCAGCCAAGUAGCGUGAAGGAUGACUGCCCUAUGGGUUGUAAACUUCUUUUAUAAAGGAAUAAAGUCGGGUAUGCAUACCCGUUUGCAUGUACUUUAUGAAUAAGGAUCGGCUAACUCCGUGCCAGCAGCCGCGGUAAUACGGAGGAUCCGAGCGUUAUCCGGAUUUAUUGGGUUUAAAGGGAGCGUAGAUGGAUGUUUAAGUCAGUUGUGAAAGUUUGCGGCUCAACCGUAAAAUUGCAGUUGAUACUGGAUAUCUUGAGUGCAGUUGAGGCAGGCGGAAUUCGUGGUGUAGCGGUGAAAUGCUUAGAUAUCACGAAGAACUCCGAUUGCGAAGGCAGCCUGCUAAGCUGCAACUGACAUUGAGGCUCGAAAGUGUGGGUAUCAAACAGGAUUAGAUACCCUGGUAGUCCACACGGUAAACGAUGAAUACUCGCUGUUUGCGAUAUACGGCAAGCGGCCAAGCGAAAGCGUUAAGUAUUCCACCUGGGGAGUACGCCGGCAACGGUGAAACUCAAAGGAAUUGACGGGGGCCCGCACAAGCGGAGGAACAUGUGGUUUAAUUCGAUGAUACGCGAGGAACCUUACCCGGGCUUAAAUUGCAGAUGAAUUACGGUGAAAGCCGUAAGCCGCAAGGCAUCUGUGAAGGUGCUGCAUGGUUGUCGUCAGCUCGUGCCGUGAGGUGUCGGCUUAAGUGCCAUAACGAGCGCAACCCUUGUUGUCAGUUACUAACAGGUUCCGCUGAGGACUCUGACAAGACUGCCAUCGUAAGAUGUGAGGAAGGUGGGGAUGACGUCAAAUCAGCACGGCCCUUACGUCCGGGGCUACACACGUGUUACAAUGGGGGGUACAGAGGGCCGCUACCACGCGAGUGGAUGCCAAUCCCAAAAACCUCUCUCAGUUCGGACUGGAGUCUGCAACCCGACUCCACGAAGCUGGAUUCGCUAGUAAUCGCGCAUCAGCCACGGCGCGGUGAAUACGUUCCCGGGCCUUGUACACACCGCCCGUCAAGCCAUGGGAGCCGGGGGUACCUGAAGUGCGUAACCGCGAGGAGCGCCCUAGGGUAAAACUGGUGACUGGGGCUAAGUCGUA